CUAGUAAUCGUGGAUCAGAAUGCCACGGUGAAUACGUUCCCGGGUCUUGUACACACCGCCCGUCACACCAUGGAAGUUGAUUGCUCCAGAAGUAGGUAGCUUAAAAAUGGGCGCUUACCACGGAGUGGUCGAUGACUGGGGUGAAGUCGUAACAAGGUAGCCGUAGGGGAACCUGCGGCUGGAUCACCUCCUUUAAA
RNAcentral lists this ribosomal RNA (197 nucleotides) under Ignatzschineria ureiclastica. RNAcentral describes it as "partial 16S ribosomal RNA". It matches the Rfam family "Bacterial small subunit ribosomal RNA", at positions 1335 to 1533 of the family's 1533-position model. Lineage: Bacteria; Pseudomonadati; Pseudomonadota; Gammaproteobacteria; Cardiobacteriales; Ignatzschineriaceae. The record is from RNAcentral.